GAUUUUCGGUAGCUCAGUUGGAUACCUGCCUGCCGGCAGGCAGGGAGCAUCAGCCUUCUAACCUGCCUGACGGCAGGCAGGGCUGAGGGUCAUUGGUUCGAAUCCAAUCCGGAUCA
Molecule: transfer RNA, 116 nt
Filed under: Chitinophagaceae bacterium
Lineage: Bacteria; Pseudomonadati; Bacteroidota; Chitinophagia; Chitinophagales; Chitinophagaceae
Description: tRNA-Arg
Rfam family: tRNA
About the family: Transfer RNA (tRNA) molecules are approximately 80 nucleotides in length. Their secondary structure includes four short double-helical elements and three loops (D, anti-codon, and T loops). Further hydrogen bonds mediate the characteristic L-shaped molecular structure. tRNAs have two regions of fundamental functional importance: the anti-codon, which is responsible for specific mRNA codon recognition, and the 3' end, to which the tRNAs corresponding amino acid is attached (by aminoacyl-tRNA synthetases). tRNAs cope with the degeneracy of the genetic code in two manners: having more than one tRNA (with a specific anti-codon) for a particular amino acid; and 'wobble' base-pairing, i.e. permitting non-standard base-pairing at the 3rd anti-codon position.
Source: RNAcentral